GUCGAGAGCAAAAAAACCGCCUGCCUCUCGAUGGAGUUCUCCAUGCCGGAAGCACAUUUUUAAGAGUCCUACACUUCCAUAUUUGGAGACCGAGGCACAGAUACCGGUACAAUUAGGAGAGAAGUUUGGUGGGCUCAUCAUUGUUGUUGAUUGGACCAUAAGACCGCCGAAUGCUGAUCUACUAAGUGGAGGCCAACUUAAUGCUAAACAUGAAGCAUCUGAAUAGCCUAAAGCAGAGGUUACGUCACAAGUGAUUGACACAUCUCAACAAGGUAUGCACAACUCAUCAUAAGUGAGAUUAAUUAUAUUUAUCAGCAUCAAGGCAUUCACAGGCAUUAAUGAGUUAUCUAAAUAAGUUUUUCUAUCAUUGCAGGUGCUUGAUACAU
Long non-coding RNA from Dioscorea cayenensis subsp. rotundata (Guinea yam), 386 nucleotides. RefSeq lists it as uncharacterized. The record is from RefSeq and is a predicted model, not a curated record. The transcript has 3 exons. NCBI's taxonomy places the organism in Eukaryota, Viridiplantae, Streptophyta, Magnoliopsida, Dioscoreales, Dioscoreaceae.